Molecule: ribosomal RNA, 506 nt
Filed under: uncultured bacterium
Lineage: Bacteria
Description: partial 16S ribosomal RNA
Rfam family: Bacterial small subunit ribosomal RNA
Source: RNAcentral
AGUGAACGCUGGCGGUAGGCCUAACACAUGCAAGUCGAACGGCAGCACAGGAGAGCUUGCUCUCUGGGUGGCGAGUGGCGGACGGGUGAGGAAUACAUCGGAAUCUACUCUGUCGUGGGGGAUAACGUAGGGAAACUUACGCUAAUACCGCAUACGACCUACGGGUGAAAGCAGGGGAUCUUCGGACCUUGCGCGAUUGAAUGAGCCGAUGUCGGAUCAGCUGGUUGGCGGGGUAAAGGCCCACCAAGGCGACGAUCCGUAGCUGGUCUGAGAGGAUGAUCAGCCACACUGGAACUGAGACACGGUCCAGACUCCUACGGGAGGCAGCAGUGGGGAAUAUUGGACAAUGGGCGCAAGCCUGAUCCAGCCAUACCGCGUGGGUGAAGAAGGCCUUCGGGUUGUAAAGCCCUUUUGUUGGGAAAGAAAUCCAGCUGGCUAAUACCCGGUUGGGAUGACGGUACCCAAAGAAUAAGCACCGGCUAACUUCGUGCCAGCCGCCGCCGUAA